This 519-nucleotide ribosomal RNA is filed under the name uncultured eukaryote. RNAcentral's name for it is "partial 18S ribosomal RNA". It matches the Rfam family "Eukaryotic small subunit ribosomal RNA", at positions 1161 to 1703 of the family's 1831-position model. The record is from RNAcentral.
AGGGCACCACCAGGAGUGGAGCCUGCGGCUUAAUUUGACUCAACACGGGGAAACUCACCCGGCCCGGACACCGUAAGGAUUGACAGAUUGAUAGCUUUUUCAUGAUUCGGUGGAUGGUGGUGCAUGGCCGUUCUUAGUUCGUGGAGCGAUUUGUCUGGUUUAUUCCGAUAACGAGCGAGACUCUGGCCUACUAAAUAGUUGGCGCAUUGCUUCUGGGGGGGCAACUUUUUUUAGGGGUUUUUUCGGUGUACCCCCCCAAAAAAAUGAAAAAAAAGGGGUGUGUGGCGCCCUUAGGUGCCCGGCGGUGCCCGCGCUCCACUGUGAAAAAAACCGCGUGGUUGUUCUUCCCCGAAAGGGGGUGGAAACCCCGAAAAAAUUUCCCGUGAUUGGUAUCAGAUAUUGCUAUUAUUGCCCGAGAACGAAGAAUUCCUUGGAGGGGAGAGUCAUCAUCUCGCUCUGAAUACCCCCCUGCCCUUUGCACACCGCGCCCGUCGGUGCGGGAGAGUGAAGUAUUUCGAA